Pipistrellus kuhlii (Kuhl's pipistrelle) is the source of this 1467-nucleotide long non-coding RNA. RefSeq lists it as uncharacterized. The transcript has 3 exons. NCBI's taxonomy places the organism in Eukaryota, Metazoa, Chordata, Mammalia, Chiroptera, Vespertilionidae. The record is from RefSeq and is a predicted model, not a curated record.
UGGCAUUAAUUAACUCUAAUCUGUUCCCUGAUAGUUUAAACCAGACCCAGGAUGGGAAGCCUUUUUCUUUCCUACAUAUUUAAUGGCCUUAAUGAGAUAACAAUGAGAACCUGUGUUUGGGCUCUUUAAUUCAUUUGGCUCCCUGGUUGUGUUUAUAUGAUAAAAGCGGUAGGGUGUUAUUUAUGUGCUUAGCUGGGGUUUAUCCUUUUUAAACAGGUCUGGACAGCUAGCUGUUAUACUUGGCUCAUGUGAGCAAAAAAGGAAAAAAAAAAAAAAAAAAGGAAAAAAAUAAGGAAUUUAUGGACUGUCCUGCAGAACGUCCCAGUUCUUCCAGGCCAAGCUCCAGGCAACGAGAAACAUGCCAUCACAGUCAGCGAACGAGUGAAAGGAACGACAGCCAGAUGGGCCUCCACAGGCCGAGCAUCUGGGGGAGGACAGCCGCCCGUGGACAGAAAGGAGCCUGGGCACACCGGUGGAAAAUGAACUGUGGGAAGGCAAGCGUCACAUCAGCUGUUCAUCAUUGUAUCCUGAGUCAGAGACAGCGCCUUCCGGAUCUUGCAAGAAUCUCCUGCUGGCCCGUCCUCUCUGCAAACACUCGGAGGGGCAUUUUUGGAGACGUGCACAGCCUGGCCAAGUGCUACGGUCUGAAUGUUUGUGUCCCUCCCAGGUUCCUGUGUUGAAAUCCUAAUCCCCUGUGUGAAGAGGUGGGGCCUCUGGAAGGUGCUUAGGUCUGGUGGAUUAGUGUCCUUAGUAAAAGAGGCUCUUUGUCUCCUUCCGCCAGGUGAGGACACAGAAUGUGCCGCCUGUGAACCAGGAAGAGGGCCCGGCCCAGGGCACAGCUGCGCUGGUGCUUUGAUCCUGGACUUCCGGCCUCCAGAACUGUGAGAAACAAAUUUCUAUUGUUUCUAGGCCAUCUAGGCUGACAUUUCGUUAUAGCAGCAGAGCCGGGCUGAGACGCCAAGCUGACACAUUACAAAGCCAUCAUACUAGGUCCAUGCCAACACGGACAGAUGGAGCAAGUGAGAUGUUUUAGAUGGGGGUGUGAACCCCGGAGCCUGGCACAUCGUUCUCUGGAGGGUCCUGCCUCUGCCUGUCCUCCAGCUGCCUGUUCCAAGUCCUCCCAGCCCUCCUCAAAGCCCACCAACACCCCAGGCACAUCUGGGCUGUCAUCGCUGCCCAGAACCCCGAUCCUCACCCCUCUGCUGGGGUGCUCUCACACCUUUCAGUAUUCAAGCUUCAACAAUAGCACCUUUGGGAGUCACUGCCAACCGAGGCUGAGUCACAGACUUCCUCUGUGUCCCUCUCUGCAAACUCCAUUAGUCCAUGUUUCUUGUAUCUCUUUCCAGAGGUAGUCUAGUCAUUCACUAACUAUACUAUAUAUAUUUUCUCUCACAUGAAAGAUAGCACCGAUUAUAUAUAUUUUUUCUGCAUUUUACAUAUUUUUCCUCUUAACACUGUUUCUUGGAG